Molecule: long non-coding RNA, 4904 nt
Organism: Carassius auratus (goldfish)
Lineage: Eukaryota; Metazoa; Chordata; Actinopteri; Cypriniformes; Cyprinidae
Source: Ensembl
CUCAGGAAGUGUCCUUGUCUUCUUCCUCUUCACAUGAUGAUCUUGUGUGUCAUGGGCCUCUGCUCUCUCUCAGAAACUGCUUUUUGGCGCCUGGCUCAGAAUGAACAUUCAUCACUGGUGGGCAGGACGCGGCGCGAAACUCUAACGGCCAAAGUUCACGCAGAGAGGAAAGCUGAACUCCUCAAGAGCAGCCCGAGAAAUCCAGCUCCAGCACAGAGGAGCCUCAUCGCCUCAUCGCCUCCUCUCCGCUCUGCUCCAGCCCUAGAGGACCAUAAACACAGCCUCUCCUCACAGCAGCCCGGGCCCGAGCCCAGCAUCUCUAUUACUAUUCCUGUUGCCACAGGGCAUUGAACCGCGGCGAACUGCGACCCCUGGCCUUAUUUUCAAAGAUGAUCUGUGAACUCGACUGAGGCUCAGCGAUUCGCUGUGAAUGCAGCCGUGCAGAGAGGGGAGCAGGUGAAUCGCUCUUCCUCUGCUGUUGUUUUUGAUGUGGAACAUGGUCUGAGGCGAUUUCUCAGUGUGUGCAGAGAGCAAACACAGGGAAGUCAAAUAAUUUGGCUUGAGACAUUGAGAAGUCCACAACUAACAAUACAGAUGUCAGCGAAAGCUGUGUGCGUUUUGAUUUCCAAAUGCUUUGUGCAAAGCAUACUUUGCUUCCUCUUGCAUCAAUUAAGACUUUAGGUGAUAAGGUCCGGCAUCUGAAAAAUAACCCCAGGAAGCAGAAUUAAGUUAAAACAUGCUCCUCACAUCCUCCUGUCCUCACUGAAAUAAAGGCAGCUAAAUGUUGUUCGUUUAGUUGUGUACAUCACCCUUUUACUGCCUCAAAUCCUUCCUGCUUCUCUCUGUGUGUGUAAAUCAAUUUGGGCUCUAGGCUGAUCUGCCUCACAGACACCUUUUCCUUUGAUUGGGUUCCCACCGCAGCCUAGUGCAGGACUGCAGCCAGCAUUAAGUUCUUUGAGGGAUUUGUACUCCCCCUAGUCCUGGCUUACCCGCAUUGACUCUAUCUGCUGUCCUCCACCGGCUCGGAGAAUUCACAAACCCGGGAUCUGUUGGGCGGGAAGGAAAGAGGCUUUCGCGGCAGACCUACCUGCAGGGCAAACGUCCUUCACAGGCCAGGAUCAGAAACUCCUGUUUGUAAUGAAUUCAAGCCACAUACAAAGAACAGUUUUUGGCUUUUGGGACAGCAUCCACUGCAUCCUUGAAAGACAACCAACCUUGUGUGCUUGAAUCUGGGUUAAUUGAAGCUUAAAUUAAGACUUGGUUUGGUUGUGAUUUUGAUGGAAAACUAUUAAAUAUACUACCGUUCCUCUGUGUUGCGUGUAUUUUUAGUGCACACACAAUCUAACCGCAUUACUUCUGUACAGCUCCUACUGUUGCUGCAGUAAUAAUAAUGGAAUUUAAUGCAUAUCAAAAUGAUGAGGUCAUUGAUAACUCUUUAUUGUGUUAUAAUGGGCACUGUAACACUUCCAGUUUAUUACUCUUAGGGUUAGGGUUAGAGUUACUUUUAUCCUUUAGCUUGACUGUGUUGUCUAAUAAUGUGUUGCAAAUGCUACACAAACCAUGUUUCAAACAAUGUUAAAAUCUUGAUUAUACUUAAGCCUUUUAUUGUUCUAAGCAAACAGAGUUUGUAAUCUUAAGAGCCUCUAAUAAAGAGUUCCAGACCAUAUGCCGACUGUUAACUGCAGACACAUAAUGAAUUUUCAUGCUGAGUUUUCAUGAAAAUAAGUAAGUUGUCCCUUGCAGUGAAAAUGAGUUACAGGCCUUGAAUUCCCCUCUUAAUUAGCAGGGUUUAAGAUGACGGCCUCAGAAGAAGCUAACACACACUUUCAUUUCUUUACACACUUUCUGAAGAGAGAAGGACUGUGAAACAGCGCCACCUGUUGACAGACUGCACUGCAGUCACACUCACUCAGUCUGCCACCGAUACAGCAAUUAUUCAGUGCAAGAGAAAGGUAAAGAUCACACGUGACUCAGUCUGCAGGUCAUUUAAUCUUCGAAGGUUUAAAGCAUCAGAAUGAUCCAGGAAUGGUGCUUAUCAAAUUAACUGGCAGAAGUUGCAAGCACUCAUGUCUGGAGUUUAUGUACCUGGGACAGAGUUAGUUAGGCUUCAAAGAAACAUAUUCCUGUGAUUGAGGUCGACUGUAAUGAUGUUUUAUGAACAUGCUAGAGGGGGAAACUGCACAGAAGAAAUGUUUUAGCAGCUCUCACUUUGAACCUCCGAGGUUUCUGCUCGUUCACUCGACCUGCUUUAUCACCUCGUAAAAACACAGGCGUGUUGGUGGACUAAGAUUUGCCGUUUUAAAUGAAAGCUUGAGUCAAGUUCACAUUUACCUGUUUAAUUGCUGCUACUUGGGCGCAAUUAUCGCUGAACCAACAAGUGUGUGUUAGGUUUGUCUGCAUGUAGAUCAGAGUCCAGAUGCUUUUUACUGGAAAUGAACUCACGCUACAAGACAAAAUAAAGAUGUAUGGUGUUUUUGCAGGUUUCUGUUGCAUGCAGGGAUCAUGAGUCUCUACCUGCCUGCAGAGAUGGAGGAAUGAUCCUCAACGUCUCUCUCACAGUCAUUCAGUGCUGAGGAGGAAAACACCCAGAUACCAUCAGCAUCACAACAGAAGCACAUGUGGGCACGAUCUUACAUUUCACUCUGUAAAGUCCUCACUGGGUCACCUGUCUGCCACUGCUGACACACACACACACGCACGCACGCAAGCACGCACGCAUGCACACACACACGCACACACACAUGCGCGCACACACACACACACACACACACACAACGUCUGUGUCUCUGUAUGGUGUUACAGUCUAGAUAUAUGUCUGUCUGUGUUUACUGCUCCAUGUUUGAAUCACUCUUUAUGAGUAAUGCAGAAAUGAUCAACUCCAGGCAGUGUGUGUGUGUUUCAUGGGUCAUGUUUCACACACAUGGACAGCGGUGCCUGUCUCUCUCUCAUUCUCACUGCUUCUAUACAAACAUAUAAGAUCCAAGAUGCCAGCUGGGACGUUUGAAGGCUUCUGCGCCUCAGAAAGAGUUUGUUCUCGACAGAUGGCUGUCUGUACGGAGACUGUAGUGUUCUCUCUAUAUUUACUGUAGAGCACUUUGGAUUUGCAGUGUAAACGCUCAUUUAUCUGAUGAGCACCGCCUACUCACCUGUCAAUCAAACCUCGAAAAUAACAAGCAGGUUAGGUUUAUAGAGUUAAUGUGUCCAGUCAAAUGUAUAUAUCAGUUUCUGAUAUGUUCUGAUGUACACUAAAGCAUCAAAAUAAUCAAAACUUAACUGUUAAAGCUGUUUCACACACAAUCUAUCCAUAACUUCUGUCUGAUUGAUAGUUUUUAUCCAGUAAAAGCUGUUUUAGUGUAAUUGUACAGACGUCCAGCUUCAGCUUGUGCUUCAUGUCUUUUUUUCAGAUCUUGACUGAUUUUUAUCAACGUCAGUAAUAUCUCCAGAUGAACUCUUCCUGGACUGAAGCAGCUCAGCUUUACUUGAUUCUCCAUCAAUCAUGUUUUAGAGUCUCAAAUCUGAUCCUCAGGAUCUUUUGAGGAGCGUUUGUUUCCAGAAGCUUUACUUUCACUGUUCCUCAGUGGAGGAAUGAUCUUCACAAGCCUCCAGAACAUCUCACAUCUUCUGAGGAGCCUCUAUCAGCACUGGAUUGCAUUGCAUUAUCUGUUUUUCUGAGGCAUAUUAUUGGAGAUAAAUGACAAAUGUUCCUUGAAGAUAUUUUGUACGUUUGCUACCAUAAAUGUAUCAAAAUGUAUAAAAAAUAAAUGUGUAAAAUUUUUUGAUUAGUAAUAUGCAUUGCUAAGAACUUAAUUUGGACAACUUUUUUUUUUUUUUGCACAGAUUUCAGGUUUUCAAAUAGUUGAAUCUCAGCCAAAUAUUGUCCUCCUAACAAACCAUACAUCAAUGGAAAUAUUAUUUAUUCAGAUGUAUAAAUCUUAAUAAAUAAAUAUGAAUACCCUUGUGACUGGUUUUGUGCUCUCAAUUCAUAUAUCAGGCUAAAUGAGCCAUAAAAUGUAUGAAAUGGUCAAAUGUAUACCAUGAGUGCUGUUUAACACACUUUGGGUAAAAGUAUCUGCCAAGUGCAUAAAUGUAAAUGUUUACGGCUGUCACAGAUGUCAUACUGACAGACGUCUCUGACUUUGGUAAACCAGUAAAGCUGGAGUGAAUCAAACACAGCUGAUGAUUUGAAGUGUGUGUGAGUGACGUUCAGAUUCAUGAUCCUCAGCUGUUCAUGGGCCGCUGCUUCCCAACAUCUCAUGCCAUGUUCAUCUGAAAUAGCUGGAGAUGGAAUAAAGAGUCUUUUAGUGCUGAGUCUUCAUUUCCUUUUUAAAAGCUACGAGCCACAAGAUAGUAGCUCCUCUGAGUGUAAAACUUAUGGAUGUUGAGCCAUAAACGGGGCGGCAGGUUACGAGGUAGUGAGUGGUUUGUGUUUUGGCACAGCUGUCCAUUUCCCCUGGAGAGGAAGACGUCCAGUGUGUGUCAUCCUCACAGACAGCGUGACAGAGGAGUGAUGAAGACAUGAUCGACUGGAGGCUGUGUGUCUCUGAUUCAGUUCAAAAUAAGCAUCAGUCACACAUUAAUAGACAAAAAGCAGACUUUCUUAAGAGACUUCUGACUGCUGUGUGUUAUACAAUGAAAGCUAAGCUCCAAAAGGAAACUCAUAAGAAUGCCAGUAAUUAAUGAGAUAUGCAUCCGACGUCAUAUCAGGUUUUUGUGAGAGUCAAACUAAUACUACUUUUUUACUUCUAUUAAAACUGUUAUUCACUUGUUGCUCAGUCUGUUCCUCACACAAAGCUUUGUAUGACUUCAGAAGACUUGAAUAUAGCAAUAAAGUCAGAAUAAAGUUAUAGUUCAUCCAAAAAAAAAAAAGGUCAUCAUUUCCUUGGCCUCGACUUGCUUCAAACCCG